GACGAACGCUGGCGGCGUGCUUAACACAUGCAAGUCGAACGAAGUGGCGCACGGGUGAGUAACGCGUAAUCAACCUGCCCUUCAGAGGGGGACAACAGUUGGAAACGGCUGCUAAUACCGCAUACUGAAGGAGGGGAUUGCGUCUGCUUAGCUAGUUGGAGGGGGAACGGCCCACCAAGGGGAUGAUCAGUAGGCGUGCCUGGAGGAAGAACCGCCACAAUGGGAAUGGGAAACGGGCCAGGCUUCUACGGGAGGGAGCAAGUGGGAAUCUUCCGAAAUGGAGGGAAGUCUGACGGAGCAACGCCGCGGGAGGGAAGACAGCCUUCGGGUUGUAAAGCUCUGUUAAGCGGGAAGCGGUACCGGAAUAGAAAGCCACGGCUAACUACGUGCCAGCAGCCGCGGUAAUUC
RNAcentral lists this ribosomal RNA (408 nucleotides) under uncultured bacterium. RNAcentral describes it as "partial 16S ribosomal RNA". It matches the Rfam family "Bacterial small subunit ribosomal RNA", at positions 28 to 526 of the family's 1533-position model. The record is from RNAcentral.